CCUACGGGUGGCUGCAGUGGGGAAUAUUGGACAAUGGGCGAAAGCCUGAUCCAGCCAUGCCGCGUGUGUGAAGAAGGCCUUCGGGUUGUAAAGCACUUUCAGUGGGGAAGAAAGCCUUGGGGCUAAUACCCUCGAGGAAGGACAUCACCCACAGAAGAAGCACCGGCUAACUCCGUGCCAGCAGCCGCGGUAAUACGGAGGGUGCGAGCGUUAAUCGGAAUUACUGGGCGUAAAGCGCGCGUAGGCGGUCUGAUAAGCCGGUUGUGAAAGCCCCGGGCUCAACCUGGGAACGGCAUCCGGAACUGUCAGGCUAGAGUGCAGGAGAGGAAGGUAGAAGUCCCGGUGUAGCGGUGAAAUGCGUAGAGAUCGGGAGGAAUACCAGUGGCGAAGGCGGCCUUCUGGACUGACACUGACGCUGAGGUGCGAAAGCGUGGGUAGCAAACAGGAUUAGAUACCCGAGUAGUC
This 465-nucleotide ribosomal RNA is filed under the name Vreelandella stevensii. RNAcentral describes it as "partial 16S ribosomal RNA". It matches the Rfam family "Bacterial small subunit ribosomal RNA", at positions 338 to 795 of the family's 1533-position model. The record is from RNAcentral. Lineage: Bacteria; Pseudomonadati; Pseudomonadota; Gammaproteobacteria; Oceanospirillales; Halomonadaceae.